Molecule: ribosomal RNA, 254 nt
Filed under: uncultured bacterium
Lineage: Bacteria
Description: partial 16S ribosomal RNA
Rfam family: Bacterial small subunit ribosomal RNA
Source: RNAcentral
UACGUAGGGGGCAAGCGUUGUCCGGAUUUAUUGGGCGUAAAGAGCGUGUAGGCGGUCAGGUAGGUCCGUUGUGAAAACUCGAGGCUCAACCUCGAGACGCCGAUGGAAACCAUCUGACUAGAGUCCGGAAGAGGAGAGUGGAAUUCCUGGUGUAGCGGUGAAAUGCGCAGAUAUCUGGAGGAACACCGGUGGCGAAGGCGGCAUCCUGGACCAACACUGACGCUGAGUGAGCGAAAGCCAGGGGAGCAAACGGG